This 525-nucleotide ribosomal RNA is filed under the name Streptomyces aurantiacus. RNAcentral's name for it is "bacterial SSU rRNA". It matches the Rfam family "Bacterial small subunit ribosomal RNA", at positions 75 to 612 of the family's 1533-position model. Lineage: Bacteria; Bacillati; Actinomycetota; Actinomycetes; Kitasatosporales; Streptomycetaceae. The record is from RNAcentral.
UGAAGCCUUUCGGGGUGGAUUAGUGGCGAACGGGUGAGUAACACGUGGGCAAUCUGCCCUUCACUCUGGGACAAGCCCUGGAAACGGGGUCUAAUACCGGAUGAUACUUCCACUCGCAUGGGUGGGGGUUGAAAGCUCCGGCGGUGAAGGAUGAGCCCGCGGCCUAUCAGCUUGUUGGUGAGGUAGUGGCUCACCAAGGCGACGACGGGUAGCCGGCCUGAGAGGGCGACCGGCCACACUGGGACUGAGACACGGCCCAGACUCCUACGGGAGGCAGCAGUGGGGAAUAUUGCACAAUGGGCGAAAGCCUGAUGCAGCGACGCCGCGUGAGGGAUGACGGCCUUCGGGUUGUAAACCUCUUUCAGCAGGGAAGAAGCGAAAGUGACGGUACCUGCAGAAGAAGCGCCGGCUAACUACGUGCCAGCAGCCGCGGUAAUACGUAGGGCGCAAGCGUUGUCCGGAAUUAUUGGGCGUAAAGAGCUCGUAGGCGGUCUGUCGCGUCGGAUGUGAAAGCCCGGGGCUUAA